GCUCACAGUGAACGCUGGCGGCGUGGCUAAGGCAUGCAAGUCGCACGGGUGUAGCAAUACACCAGUGGCGCAAGGGUGAGUAAUGGAUAGCUAACGUACCUUCAACUGGGGCAUAGCCAGUCGAAAGACUGGGUAAUUCCCCAUAAAGUCGCGAUGGGACAUCCUGCUGCGACCAAAGGUGAGGACCGCAAGGCUUACCGGUUUUAGCGCGGGCUAUCUGCUAUCAGCUUGUUGGCGAGGUAAUGGCUCACCAAGGCUAUGACGGCUAGCUGGUCUGAGAGGACGACCAGCCACAUUGGCACUGAGACACUGGCCAGACUCCUACGGGGGGCUGCAGCAACGAAUCUUCCCCAAUGGGCGAAAGCCUGAGGGAGCGACGCCGCGUGAAGGAUGAAGUACUUCGGUAUGUAAACUUCUUUAGGGGUUACGAAAGCGAUGCGCGCUAAUACCGCGCAAAGUUGAUCUAGCCCAAAAUAAGGGACGGCUAACUCUGUGCCAGCAGCCGCGGUAAUACAGAGGUCCCAAGCGUUACUGAGAAUCACUGGGUUUAAAGGGUGCGUAGGUGGUCCGUUAAGUUCGUUGUGAAAUCCCUGGGCUCAACCCAGGAACUGCUUCGAAUACUGGCGGACUUGAGGCCGGUAGAGGUCACUGGAACUGACGGUGGAGCGGUGAAAUGCGUAGAUAUCGACAGGAACGCCGGUGGUGAAGACGGGUGACUGGGCCGGUUCUGACACUGAGGCACGAAAGCGUGGGGAGCGAACGGGAUUAGAUACCCCGGUAGUCCACGCCCUAAACGAUGCAGACUAGAUUGCAGCGGGUCUUACCCCGUUGCGGUCGGAAAAAAAUCGUUAAGUCUGCCACCUGGGAAGUACGG
This 874-nucleotide ribosomal RNA is filed under the name uncultured bacterium. Its description in RNAcentral is "bacterial SSU rRNA". It matches the Rfam family "Bacterial small subunit ribosomal RNA", at positions 22 to 885 of the family's 1533-position model. The record is from RNAcentral.